Molecule: long non-coding RNA, 1010 nt
Filed under: Coturnix japonica (Japanese quail)
Lineage: Eukaryota; Metazoa; Chordata; Aves; Galliformes; Phasianidae
Description: lncRNA (ENSCJPG00005000847.1)
Source: RNAcentral
UGAGUUUUGAUUACCAGGAACCCUGGAGAACUAUGAGAAGUUGGUAAUUUGUUGUCUAGAUCUCUCAGUCUUUAGAAGUGUAGAGUAUUGUGAUUUUUAUCAGUGUCUAAAAACACUUGAUGGGAGAGAGCAAAGAUGAUGCUUUUUCAUUGAUUCCCAGUGACAGCACAAGAGGCAAUGGACGCAAACUGGAAUAUACAGGGUCCUCCCCGGAAAUCUGGAAGAACUUCUGUGCUGUGCAGGUGACAGAGCAGGGCUUGGACAAAUUGACAUUAGACGACCCCUCCCACCUUAACUCCCUAUUGGAAAAGGCCUGGAAAGCUUCAGUGGCCAUAGAAUGCUUUAUAUACAUACAUUUUCUUACAUACUUAAUAGUGUGACAUUUCAGAAAGUAAAGAGAGUUUCUUUGUAUUCUCUGUGUAAAUACAUUGUCAAAAAGAAUUUCUAUGUCUUGCCUUAGUUAAAUUCUGCUUGGCUCAUGCCUUUCAAGGCAAUGGUUCAGCUCCUAUGGGGCUACUUUUAAAAGGCUGCCAUUAUUUAGAAUGGAUCAUUUAAUUAUCCCACCAUAGGGUUUGUAACAAAAAUUAAUCUGUGCAGGUAUAUUGUUUGUGUGAGUCACAAUUACAAAGUAAAUAUGUUACUGCCCAAUAGAGUUGCUGAAAUCCAACUGUACACAGCCUUUUAGAAUUUAGGGACAAGCUUUGUUUACUCUUAAUUAUACUUAAUGCCAUUUACUUCAGCUAGCCUGUAGCAUGUGUUCCUACUAAUUGAUUUAUGUACUUAGCAAAAUACCUUUUUUAAUACAAGCGUGCGACACUAUCUAAGAUGAAACUGCCUGUCCUAUGACUGGAGGGAAUAAUUACAGCGAAAAUAUAUCAAUUAAAAUGAGCUUUAUUAAACUAUAUUUGUAUCAUGGACACGGUUACCAAAACCUCCAAAGAGCCGAUCAGUGUUUGUGUCCUUGGGGCACUUUCUUGAUUUAAAAAGAAUAAAAAAUUAAAAAAAAAACA